Molecule: long non-coding RNA, 2789 nt
Filed under: Homo sapiens (human)
Lineage: Eukaryota; Metazoa; Chordata; Mammalia; Primates; Hominidae
Description: HSALNT0365396
Source: RNAcentral
AGUGCUGAGUCACUCUCAAACUUCACAGCAUUCCACGACAGCUCAUCCUUCUUGACUUUCCUUUUUUUUUCCCUUUUCCUUUUUCCUUUUUUAAGUUCUCUUAAUAUUUUUUAUUCCCAACAGACUUGUCUUUGGACAAAAUUGAGAAGAACUCAUAAACUUGGCUUCCUCGCUUCUGCUCCUCAGACGCGCGUGGAUGAUUUGAAGAUAUUAGCCUAACAAGAUGGAAGCAGGUUUAAAAUUUUACAUAAGAAGUUACCUUUUUCAGUUGUGUUGAUGUUCCUUUCAGCUGGUCCUAUAGUACCCCUCCUCAGGAAUGUCUCCCCAGUGCAAGGACAAAGACUGAAGAGACUGCUAUAUUGAUGGACUCUCAAGCCAACUAUGAAGUUGAAACAAAGAAAGUGAUCACCUGAAGACACCUCCUCUGCUAAGAAACACCCCCAAAUUGUGCAGCUUCUGCCACUAGAACUCUCAGAACAAGAGACAAUCUUUUCAAGAAACAGAAAAACUCAAUAAUGACAUCUAGAUUUUCAUGAGCCAAGAACUUUCCCUUCCUCAUGUGUAUUCCUCUGUUUGUACUUAAAUUCAUGUGACAUUCAUUUUUUUCCUAGUAUGGAUAUGCUUAUUAAUGCACUUGUUUCAAAAUCCCAAAUUGCACAAAUGUGUUAAUAUUUUAAGAAACAAAAUGAAUCCUACAAGGAGAAUGAUUUUUAGCCACACAUAGGGUUGGAUCUUGAGAGUGACCUACAGAAUAAAAGUACUUUUAAAAUAAAGUAGUCAGAGGCUAUUCAAAGGGUAAAAUAAUCAUAGUACCACAUUGGUCCACUUGACACUAACCAAUCGAUCAUUUUUUUUUAAUCAAGAAAGCUAGAUUCUAUCAGAUAAAAUCACUGCUUCUAAAGAGUUUAAAUCUAGUUAGAAAAAGUUAUAGAAAUGUUUGCAAAGAUAAGUAACAGAUAGAGUCAGUAGAGGAUAAGAUCAAAAACAAAACCAAGCAAAAGAUGAGUUCAGGGGAGUUUGCCAUCAAGUUGGCAAAACUGACUUACUUAGGGAAGAAAGUUAUAAAACAGGAAAAUAUGAGAUGAACCUUGAGUGAUGUGGAAGAUUUAGAUAAAUGGAAAGGAAGGAGAAAAUGGAGUUCUUUAGGUGGUUGUAAUUGGAGGAGGAAAUGAAUACACACAUCUUGUUGACUUAAACCCAGACAUUCAGCAGCUCUCUAUACAUAUCUGGAAAAGACUGCACAGUCACCUCCUGUCUCUCACCCCAGGUAUUACUUAGAAUUAUUAUCAUAUUUCCCUUCCUUUAAAGUAAGUAAGGGUGAUUGGUGACAAUAUGGAGAACUAUGAUUUUUCCAUUAACCUAAUAAUAAUUGGUAUUUAUUGAGUUCUGUUAAGCAUUUUACAUAUUAACUCACUUAAGCCUUUCAACAGCCUUGCAAAAUAGGUAUUAUUAUCCCCAUUUUACAGGCAAGAAAACUGAGGUUUAAGUAACUUGCCGAAGUGCCAUAUACAGGGCUCACAUUCAGUAUUGCAGUUGCAAAGCUCAUGAUCUAUAGUGCCAAGUUGCAAUAUUGUAGUCAAUGUCACAAUUAUUACCCCUUUUUAUAUUCCUUGAUAUUUUUCCAUGGCAAACAAUUAGCUAUUUCAUUUAAUAAUCACCUAAAACUUUUCAGUCUUCUGAUUAAAAUUACGCUGGAGUGAUAGAAUGUAUUUUCAUGAUAGAAAUUGGGAAAAAAAAUGGGGAAUGAAGUUUAUCAGCAUUUCAGACUUGUUUUUUUUUUUUUUUUUUGCAAGACUUUGAUGAGAUUGUUCACUUUUGUCUAUGUAAAAUCCCAAAUCCUUGAGAAUAAAAAAGGGGGAGGUUUAAGUCACUUGUUGCAAUGCCCUUUUUAAUAGAGGCAAUAAAUCUAAAGGCCAUAAAUUUAGAGUGACUUACAGAAGAUCGAACUUUGGAGUGUGGCAGAGUAAGGGAUGGAAACCGGGCCCUCCAGUUCACUAUCAGUAGCUUUUGCACUGGUCUGCCCUUCCUAAAUUAAGUAUGCACUUCAAUUUGAUGAGUGGAAACAGUCUAUCUGGGCAGUAACCAGGGAGCUUUGUGCCUAGUAGAUUGCUUCUGUUCUGCACUUCUUUGGUUUCCCACCUCAAUGUAAAAAAUAGCUAGCAAUGAAGUCCAGAAGUUGUCAAUGGUUCAUCCCCAGAAGAAUGCAUAAUGUCCAAAGUUGUAUGUGUAUGAUGUCUUCAAUGGUAUUAAGUUAUUUCAAAUUCUUAGUUCACCUACAUAAAUCAUUUCUAACAAGCAUCUUCUUAACCAACUUUAUGCACAGUGUAUGUUUGUAAGUGCUUCUGCACGAAUGUUUAUACAUGACUGUUUCCAUAGUACUUAUGUUUUUAAAAAUAUUCAGUCAUUUCCUACUAUAAUCCUCAUGUAUCCAUGUAACUGACUCAAAAAUACUUCAGCCACAGAAAGCUAAAACUGAGCAAAUCUCAUUCUUCUUUUCCAUCCCCUUUGCAUGUGGCUGGCAUUUAGUAAUGAUUAAUAAUAUGGCCAGCUGAAUAACAGAGGUUUGAGACACAAUUCUUUCUCAAAGGAGUCAGCUAAGCUGGGUCUACUUAUGGACAAACAUCUAAAUGUGUGGAAGUAUCUGAUAUUUGACAAUGGUAAAUUUCCACUUAGCUAGCUAGCAUUGUCAGACUUCAAUCUCCUCAUGGCUCUGGCCGUCCUGUUUUAAGCAUGAUAAUUGUUGGCCACAUCUCACAUAGUUCUCAUUGAGUGAGUUCAUAAAUAAACAG